UACGGGGGGUGCGAGCGUUGUCCGGAAUCACUGGGCGUAAAGGGCGCGUAGGUGGUUUGAUAAGGGUGUGGUGAAAGUCCGGGGCUCAACCCCGGAUCUGCCGUGCCGACUGUCAAACUCGAGGACUGUAGAGGCAGACGGAAUUCCGGGUGUAGCGGUGGAAUGCGUAGAGAUCCGGAGGAAGACCGAUGGCGAAGGCGGUCUGCUGGGCAGUUUCUGACACUGAGGCGCGACAGCGUGGGGAGCAAACAGG
RNAcentral lists this ribosomal RNA (253 nucleotides) under uncultured bacterium. Its description in RNAcentral is "partial 16S ribosomal RNA". It matches the Rfam family "Bacterial small subunit ribosomal RNA", at positions 524 to 776 of the family's 1533-position model. The record is from RNAcentral.